This is an RNA transcript of Eriocheir sinensis (Chinese mitten crab), 7356 nucleotides long. It is a transcript of the gene named dnaJ homolog subfamily C member 30, mitochondrial-like, with no coding region annotated. The transcript is spliced from 5 exons. NCBI's taxonomy places the organism in Eukaryota, Metazoa, Arthropoda, Malacostraca, Decapoda, Varunidae. The record is from RefSeq and is a predicted model, not a curated record.
UUCCCUUCCCUAUUCUAACUUUCCUGAGGGUGUGUUCCUCGGCCACUCAUUUACCCUUGGGACAUCAGAGAGGAAGGGUGCACGUUCCUCGCUACCCUUUCUAGAUCACUUUUUCGGCCUCGCGGGGAACUGAAAGCCGGCAGGAUGACCGAAGAUGACCCGGAGGCGGCAUGCAGGGGAAGACACGAGGAGGAUGAACGUCAGAGAGGAGAGAGUGCACAAUCAUCAAGAGUGGGAGAGACUCACAACCCGGCCAGCCCCAUAAGAGACGAACAAAGACGGAAGAUGAAGAAAGAAGUAAAGCCUAGUCGUCGGUGAGUAAAGGGGCUGCUGUGUGGCACGGCGCUGAGGAGGCUGGGGAGGGAGAACCACCAACUACUGCCCGGGACACCUGUGGAGGAGAUGCAGAGUGAGACACUACAUCAGGAAGAGGAGAAGGGCAAGGAGGGAGAUGCUGGGAGAAGAGAUGGAGGGAAUAACUACAAGAGACAAGAUGCUGGAAGAAGAAAGGAGCUUAGCAAGAGAGCUGUGAAAGAGAGAGGACACAUUACAUCAGGAAGAAAAGAAGGGCAAGGAAGAUGCUGGGAAGAAGAGAAGAGAAUGAACUAGAGAAGAAAGCAGCAACAGUAUAUGGCACCCUGGCUCUGAGGGUGAGUGCAAGGGUGCCAUAUUGUGCAGAGGGGGGGACGCAGGGGUGUUGCAGGAAAACGAACACAAUGAACAACUCUCUCUCUCUCUCUCUCUCUCUCUCUCUCCUCUCUCUCUCUCUCUCUUCUCUCUCUCUCUCUCUUCUCUCUGGGGGGAGGGCAGGCUAGCAAAAGGCACUCCAGGCUCUCUCCUUCCUUGUGUGACAGCCUGGGGACAUGAGACAGAGGGAGAGAUAAGAGAAUGUGAGUCCUCUACUACUACUGCCUCUACUGCUGCAAUCACCUUCUCUUGCCACCCACUACAGCUUCAGUCUCUUGAUCUCCUCAGCCUUGAAGUCCACUCUGAAAACAAAGCACAUGGUCACAUCACACGCCUCAUCCCUCUGCCUCUUGAAACCAACUUAAUGGAGCGUUAAUUAAGAUGAAUAUGACUGAGAGGAAGAGUGUAGCAUUGUAUUGGGACAAGUGGAAGUGUUGAGGGGUGGAGAAUAAUAAACUGAAGUACAUGACAAGACUGUUUUCAUCACCUCAGCUGGAGAGAGAGGAGGAGGAGGAAAGGAACAGCCAGAAGAGUGUAACAUUGCAUAGGACAAGGGUGGGUGAUGCUGGGUAAGAGAGUAACAGUGCAUGGCAAGAGUGUUUUCAUUACCUCAGCUGGAGAGAGGGGAGGAGGAGGAAAGGAGCAGCCAGAAGUGUAACACUGCAUAGGACAAGUGUAAGAUUUGCUAAGUGAGAGAAUAACAAACUAAAGUAUAUGACAAGAGAGAGAGAAGGAAGAGGAAGGGAACAGCCAGAAGUAUUCCAUUGCAUAAGAUAAGGGUGGGUGAGAGAGUAACAAACCACAGUGCAUGGCAAGAGUGUUUUCAUUACCUCAGAUGGAAGGAUGAGAGGAGAGAAGGAAGGAAGAGGAAGUGUGAUACUUGAAAUAGUCUUACUGAACUCAUCUUUGGCACUCAAUAUAUAUAACCAAAUGAGUGUUUUUAGAUGUGGUGUGAAGUCUCAAAUCAUCUGACUAUAUAUUAUUUUAUGACCAAUACCUGAGUGAUAAUUAUGUCAGUGUGAUACUUGGAAUAGUCUUACUGAACUCAUCUUUGGCACUCAAUAUAUAUAGCCAAAUGAGUGUUUUUAGAUGUGGUGUGAAGUCUCAAAUCAUCUGGCUAUAUACUAUUUUACAACCAAUACCUGAGUGAUAAUUAUGUCAGUGUGAUACUUGGAAUAGUCUUACUGAGCUCAUCUUCGGCAUUCACUAUAUAUAUAACCAAAUGAACCAAAUGAGUGUUUUUAGAUGUGGCGUGAAGUCUCAAAUCAUCCGACUAUAUACUAUUUUACGACCAAUACUUGAGUGAUAAUUAUGUCAGUGUGAUGCUAGGAAUAGUCUUACCGAGCUCAUCUUCGGCAUUUGAUAUAUAUAAAGAAUUGUGUGUUUUUAGAUGUGGUGUGAAGAGCCUCAAAUCAUCUGGCUAUAUACUAUUUUACAACCAAUACCUGAGUGAUAAUUAUGUCAGUGUGAUACUUGGAAUAGUCUUACUGAGCUCAUCUUCGGCAUUCACUAUAUAUAUAACCAAAUAUGUGUUUUUAGAUGUGGCGUGAAGGGCGUCAUGCAAAUUAUUUUUUAUGUAUCUUACGACAUAUAUGAAUUUUUAUCCUGAUGUUGAUAAUGAAUAAAGUUUUCUGACCUGUGUGAGCAAGAUGUGUCCUCCUCCUCUUCUUCGUCUUUGGACCUCUGCUGCUUCUUAGGUUUCUUCUUCUGCUCUGUACCUUCUUUGGACAUUUCUUCAGCCACUCUCUCAAGCUGGUCAUCCAUUGCAUUCUUCAUUUACUUAUCUUUUUGUUGCCAGUGUUCAGUGUUGCCAGGUGGCUCACUCCUGCACCAUCUUCUGUUGUCUGUGCGUUUGUUAUCCAGUUUUUGCAUCAUACUUCUUGCUGGAAUGGCUUGGCAACAGUCCUUGCCACAUACACACCUAGAUAGAUGGAUGGGUGGACAGGCCUAGUAUAUAGACACAUACUUACCACAGAGUUUAGACUAGAGUGGCAGGAGUUCCAGGGCACUUCUGAAGGCGGAUUUCUUAUAUAUAAGGGCCGUAUUACAAGUCCAACUGUAGAAGUUUCGGGUCCCCACAGAGUUUGGUCUCGGGAGGACUUUUUGGGUUCCAAAUGUCGGUAUUACAAGUCACUUAUAUUAUGGGCCAGCCAGUCGGGGCUGUCCAGUGUACCAACCGAUGCGAUGAACAGAUGAAUAACAUUAUCGAAAUCAGCAAAAUCCAUUUUUUUUCACUGCCAAAACAUGUAAUUAAUAUUAGUUACUAAAACUGUAAAUGACAUUUAUACUGACAAUGCUUUUUUGUAUUUACAAAUGAAGGGAAAAUACAUUUUAGGAGUUCUGAGGCUGGAAUUCCAGGGAGGCCACAGUCUACUGUUUAUUUAUGCUUCUGUAUGAUUUAUAGCAUGCAGUACCUCAUGAAAAUGUUACUAUUUUAUUAGAAAAGGAUAAGGACAUAAGGCAUACAUCAUAUAAAUGCUUAAUUCAAGAUAUUAAUGUGACGAUACUCUAAUGUGUGUUUUUCUGAGUCCUUCUUAUUCACGUUUUCUCUCACGCAGUUCAAUGAGGCUCCAUUUUCUGUAAUAGAAUAAGAGGCCCACUGCACUAAUGUGUUGGAUUGCUCUCUUGAAGUCUUGGCUAAUAAGCCCAUGAUACACCAUUUCAAUGUGGCAGUAGCUUUGAAAGCAUCAUGAACAAUAAUAAUAGCACAGACAACGGUCAUAUACGCAACUGUCUUCCUCCUCCUUGUGAGUGGUGACGUGAUCGCCUAGAACUCAUGAGGGUAACUUAAAUUCUUUUACCGUAGCUUCUCUUUGAUCAAAUAAAUUUGUAAUGGGUUUUCUUGACAGUUUAAUAGCAAUUUCUGGAAGAAACAUCACUAAUGCGUGUCACUGUGAAGAAACAGAUGAAAAAGUUAACUAUUUCAUUUAUCAGGAAGCAGCCUUCGGGCUGGGGGGGCACCCGAGGAAUCUCUCCCGAACGUUCAAGUAAUGCUGCCUGACCCCCACUGAAACGUGCGACUUGUAAUACCAACACCCGCUGAUCAUUGAAUCCAAAACUUCUCAGGUUUGGCUUGUAAUACAGGCCUAAUUCUUCAUCCUUAACAUAUAAACAGACCUAGAUAGAUACAGGCCUGGUAUAUGGACACAGAUGGAGUUUAAAAUAGAGUGGCUAAGGCAUUUGAGAUGUUAACUUCUGAAGGCAGACUGCUUAUAUAUAAUUCCUCAUCCUUUCCAUAUAAACAGACCUAGAUAGAUAGCCAGGCCUGUUAUAUAGACACAGAUGUACCAUGGAGAUUAGAAUAGAGUGGCAACAGUCCCAAGGCAUUCUGAGACGUGAACUCCUGAAGGCGGAUUGCUUAUAUAUAUUUCCUCCUCUUUGACACAUAAACAGACCUAGAUAGAUAGCCAGGCCUGGUAAAUAGACACAGAUGUACCAUGGAGAUUAGACUAUAGUGGCAACAGUCCCAAGGCAUUCUGAGACGUGAACUCCUAAAGGCGGACUGCUUAUAAAUAAUUCCUCAUCCUCACCACAUGUAUAUAGAUAGACAGGCCUGGUAUAUAGACACAGACUAGACUAGAGUGGCAGCAACAAUCCCUAGGUAGUGUGAGGGCCCACCAAGCCUCGCCGAGUGGGUCAUACACUGCACUAGCUUUAUCUUACUUGGUAGAAUGGGUAUGGAAAGAAAGGCCGUGUGAUUCUCAUAUUAAUGUUGCUAAAAAGAGGUAAAAUAAAUAUAGGAUAACGUGUAUAAAAAAUUGUUUACAAGCACACCGACUCAAGACCUUACACCACAUAACAUUCUCUACGACUGCACGAUUGUUGGUUGAGUUUGAUCACCUAUUGACGAGCCUAAUCUUCAGCACCUGAUCGACUUCUGACCUGAAAAACAAAACAGACGAACAAAACGAUCACGAAACGGAAAACAUCUCAAAAUUUCUGCGUUGACAACGGUGGAAACUUUAGUUCAGCGAUGCCGAGCCACCAGGAGCAGCGUUGCCAGACCACCGCGCUGAGGUCCACAUUUAGAACCAUCUCGGGCUCCCACCACGACUAUUGCCCAAGCCCACGGGGAAGAUUAACCGGGUUUUCAUGGGGGUGACUUUCCCGUUGAAGGUGCAGAGGCCGUGUAAAACUAUCACCGGCGGGAUCACAAAACAGUCCGUGAAAAUCCAGAACUUCCCCGAAAGGCUUUUCAAAUGGGUGAACUGAGGUGCCGAGACGUCUAAAAAUGUCUUUCGCACAGUGUAUAUCCCAGCUCUGACCAAUAACUAUAAAAAAAUAUAAAAAACAAUUAUCAAAGGUCUUAAUAGAAACUCAAAUUGAAUACCAUCACUCGAUCCUCUUGACUCUUUUGUGGAAGCAAUGAAUGGCGGGCUUUUUAUUUUUCAUUACUGUUUUUUUCCCCCUUGAACGUUUUCCUCUACUGAAAAAAUAAAAAUAAAUAAAAAAUAAAUAAAAAAAUAAAAAAAUGUGUAGGUACUUGCGACAGUCUGGGUCUGAAACAUGGAUACAGUGACCUGAGCGCGACAAUCUGGCAACACUGUUCAGGGGUAUGGAGACUGACUGUUGUUCUGACGUGACUUGGAUUACUCUUACAAUAUCAUGGCGUCAGGAGUGUCCACGCAUACAGGCCCUGACAACGCCGUUACAGCCUGGCAGGAGCACUCGGGGAUUAUACUCUGUCCAUAUUAACCCCUUCAACACGAGGAUGCGUAUACUGCGUCCUUACAUGCGCCGUACCAUAUCCGAGGACGCGCAUACUGUGUCCUGGCUCACUUUAGCCAAUAUACGAGUUAUUUCAUCUCUUUAUAUUUAUGCGUACAUCUCAAAAUUAUCAAUUAACGUGUUUCUUUAUGUGCACCAUUUAAUUCUGCAUGCUUUCAUAUAUAAUACAUGAUGAUUAUGUUGAGUUUAUGGCUGAAAACUUUCUAUUCAAUAGCGACAUUUGAAAUUUGGAGUACGCGCCGAUCUCAGAUAUGGCGCGGGGCGCUGUUUUGGCCCAGCCGUAGUGAAAGGGUUAAGUUGGGAAAUAGGAGUUUUAAUUUUUUAGUUUGCAAUAUCCUGCCUUGGCAAAUUUAGACAAGGAUUUUUAGGCCAAUGUGGGACUAUUACUGGACUCCAACUUCUGCCCAAAAGACAAUGAUUAGGUUACAAUUUCCUUCCUGCCUUGACAAGUUUGAACUGCAAGGACUUUUAUAUAGACCAGUUGGGUUUAGGCUGUGGAACUAAGUGGACGACAACUUCCACCAAAACAAAGAACAAGUUACAGUGUCCUGCCUCAAGACUGGGACUGAUACUGGAUGACAACUUCCACCAAAACAAAGAACAAGUUACAGUGUCCUGCCUCAAGACUCUGGGAGUGAUACUGGAUGACAACUUCCACCAAAACAAAGAACAAGUUACAGUGUCCUGCCUCAAGACUGGGACUGAUACUGGAUGACAACUUCUGCCAAAACAAAGAUUAGGUUACUGUGUCCUGCCUCAAGACUGGGACUGAUUCUGGAUGACAACUUCUGCCAAAACAAAGAUUAGGUUACUGUGUCCUGCCUCAAGACUGGGACUGAUACUGGAUGACAACUUCCACCCAAAACAAAGAUUGGGUUACUGUGUCCUGCCUCAAGACUGGGACCGAUACUGGAUGACAACUUCCACCCAAAACAAAGAUUGGGUUACUGUGUCCUGCCUCAAGACUGGGACCGAUACUGGAUGACAACUUCCACCAAAACAAAGAUUGGGUUACUGUGUCCUACCUCAAGACUAUGGGAGCGUUACAGGACGACAACUUCCACCAAAACAAAGAUUGGGUUACUGUGUCCUGCCUCAAGACUAUGGGAGCGUUACAGGACGACAACUUCCACCCAAAACAAAGAUUAGGUUACUGUGUUUUGCCCUUACAAAUUUGUACUGCAAGGAUUUUUAUGCCAAUAGAAUUCAAGACUGCAGGACUUACUUUAUAUCAACUUCUGCCAAAAACAAAGGUCAGGUCACAACUUUUUAGACCAAUGGGAUUCAAGACUAUGGGAUUGUUACUAGACCUCAACUCCUGCCAGAAACAAAGGUCAGGUCACAUUUUUUUAGACCAAUGGGAUUCAACACUAUGGGAAUGUUCCUAGACCCCAACUUUUGCCAAAAACAAAGGUCAGGUUAUGAUCUUUUUAAGACAGUGGGAUUCAGGACGAUGGGACUGUUCCUAGACCCCAACUUCUGCCAACAACAAAGGUCAGGUUAUGAUUGUUUAGGCCAGAUGGGUUCAGAAUGCAGGACUUACUGGACACCAACUUCCAUCAAAAACAAAGGUCAGGUCACAACUUUGAAGACCAAUGGGAUUCAAGACUAUGGGAAUGUUCCUAGACCCCAACUUCAGGUCAGGUUAUGAUUGUUUAGGCCAGAUGGGUUCAGAAUGCAGGACUUAGUGGACACCAGCUUCCAUCAAAAACAAAGGUCAGGUCACAACUUUUUAGAACAAUGGGAUUCAAGACUAUGGGAAUGUUCCUAGACCCCAACUUCUGCCAAAAACAAAGGUCAGGUCACAACUUUUUAGACCAAUGGGAUUCAAGACUAUGGGAAUGUUCCUAGACCCCAACUUCUGCCAAAAACAAAGGUCAGGUUAUGAUUUUUAAGGCCAGAUGGGUUCAGAAUGCAGGACUUACAGGACGCUAAGUUCAC